UUUACCUGGGUUUGCCUGCCAGUAGUCAUAUGCUUGUCUCAAAGAUUAAGCCAUGCAUGUCUAAGUACAGGCCUACCCAAGGCGAAACCGCAAAUGGCUCAUUAAAUCAGUCAUGAUUCAUUGGAUGUUGAUGAAUCUUUUACUCGGAUAACCGUGGCAAUUCUAGAGCUAAUACGUGCAACUGAGCUCCGACCCCGCCAUACCAGGCGGGGGAAGGGCGCAUUUAUUAGAAUCAUAAACCGAGCGGACUUCGGUCCGUCUCAUACGAGGUUGUGAUGACUCUGAAUAACUAUGCCGAGCGCUGAGGCCUUCGUGCCGGCGCCGUAUCUUUCGAGUGUCUGCCUUAUCAGCUUUCGAUUGUAGGUUAUACGCCUACAAUGGCUGUAACGGGUAACGGGGAAUCAGGGUUCGAUUCCGGAGAGGGAGCCUGAGAAACGGCUACCACAUCUAAGGAAGGCAGCAGGCACGCAAAUUACCCACUCCCGGCUCGGGGAGGUAGUGACGAUAAAUAACGAUGCGGGACUCUUCCGAGGCCUCGCAAUCGGAAUGAGUUCACUCUAAAUACUUGGACGAGGAUCCAUUGGAGGGCAAGUCUGGUGCCAGCAGCCGCGGUAAUUCCAGCUCCAAUAGCGUAUAUUAAAGUUGCUGCGGUUAAAAAGCUCGUAGUUGGACUUUAAGAUACGUGCCGGCGGCCCAUCCAAGGCGCGCCCUCGCCGACCCGCUGGGUUGGGGGGGUCGGGACGCCCGUACGCGCGCGCGCGGGGAAUGCAAGGUUUUCCCUUCUUUCCCGCCGUCGCUGCGGUGCCGCUCCUUUUCCCCCCCACCCUUUCGACGCAUAUCCCUUAACCGUGGUCGUCCUUCACGCCGUCAUCUUCAUCACCUUCCUUUCCUUUCACUCAAACCACGCGGAGACUAGUCGCUCACUCUCCCCCAUACAAAGCCCAUUCGACCUCUGUGAACGCGGUUCUCGGUUCAUCAGCGUUUCCUUCCAUUAUAUACCCCCCAUUUACCAACCUUCUCGGCGAUCGCGGGUCACCGACGAUUAACCUCGUCGCCCCCUUUCGUCGGAGGGAAUGGGACGGUCCCUAUUUUGGGCUAAAAGGAUUCGCUAUCACGUUGUUCCGUCCCGCGUUUUUCAAGUCGAGUCGGGUAACGGGGGAAACAAGGGGAGUGUACCCUUCGUCGUCGGUUGAAGGGGUUCAUAAAGGUCGCGUCGUUGUCGUUACGGCCGUCGGCUUCCACGGAGGGUGUGACUGAGAGUGGGGUCCCGCGAGCGGCGGGUAAGCGCGCCCGGUGGUUCACUGGCCGGUCACGAAUUUUUAAAAGCCGUCGGCUCUCACGGGGUGCUCUUUACCGAGUGUCCCGCGUGGCCGACACGUUCACUUUGAAAAAAUUAGAGUGCUCAAAGCAGGCAAACGUUAUAGCCUGAAUGUCGAUGCAUGGAAUGAUGGAACAGGACCUCGGUUCUGCAUUUUUCUCUCGGUUUUCCGAACCCGAGGUAAUGAUUAACGGGAACGGACGGGGGCAUUAGUAUUGCGACGCUAGAGGUGAAAUUCUUGGACCGUCGCAAGACUAACUACUGCGAAAGCAUUUGCCAAGAACGCUUUCAUUAAUCAAGAACGAAAGUUAGAGGAUCGAAGGCGAUCAGAUACCGCCCUAGUUCUAACCUUAAACGAUGCCAACUGGCGAUCCGCUUAAGUCAUUCCCACGACUGAGCGGGAAGCCCCCGGGAAACCAAAGUCUUUGGGUUCCGGGGGAAGUAUGGUUGCAAAGCUGAAACUUAAAGGAAUUGACGGAAGGGCACCACCAGGAGUGGAGCCUGCGGCUUAAUUUGACUCAACACGGGGAACCUCACCAGGCCCAGACACCGGAAGGAUUGACAGAUUGAGAGCUCUUUCUCGAUUCGGUGGGUGGUGGUGCAUGGCCGUUCUUAGUUGGUGGAGCGAUCUGUCUGGUUGAUUCCGAUAACGAACGAGACUCUACCCUAUUAACUAGUCGGUGGAUCGUAUCCCGAGACGGGUUCCCUACCGGGGGGUUCGGCACGGUACUUCGGGCCUCCGGCCGCGGCGUCCUUCCCCUUAAAGCGGCGGGUGCGGCGUCCGUCGUUUGCGUCUCUCUUCCCCUCUCCUUUACCUUCAUUUUCCCCCCCUCCUCGGGCGGCCGUCGCGAUCGCUUCGGCGUGAGGCGUGCGGGGUGGUUCGCCACCCCCUCUCUCGCGUCGGACGGUUCGCGGUCGUUCGGGUUCUCGGUGGGGGAGGGUAGGUCUUGGACGGAAAGGGUUGCACGCGCGGCGUGGCGUUCCUCCGUGCGCGUAGGGGGGUUAAAAAAGGGGGCGUCGUGCGUCGUACGAGGAAUCGCGUCCGCGCUCGCUACACCCCUCGCGUAGGGCCCAGCGAGGGGCGUCCUCCGCAACAUCUUCUUAGAGGGAUCGGCGGCGUCCAGCCGCACGAGAGAGAGCAAUAACAGGUCUGUGAUGCCCUUAGAUGUUCUGGGCCGCACGCGCGCUACAAUGAAGGGAUCAGCGUGCUUUCCCCCUCCGAAAGGAGCGGGUAACCCGGUGAAACCCCUUCCCGAUUGGGAUUGGGGAUUGUAAGUGUUUCCCAUGAACGAGGAAUUCCCAGUAAGCGCAAGUCAUCAGCUUGCGAUGAUUAAGUCCCUGCCCUUUGUACACACCGCCCGUCGCUACUACCGAUUGAAUGAUUCAGUGAGGGCGUCGGACUAGCGCCCUCGGUAGCCCUCGGUUCCUCGCGCUUUUACGCCGUCGCCCUUAUUUUAGGGGCGUAUGCGGGCGCGGCCGACUAGGCACCCCGGGCCGCCGGAAAGACGUCCGAACUUGAUCAUU
RNAcentral lists this ribosomal RNA (2842 nucleotides) under Cilicaea crassicaudata. Its description in RNAcentral is "partial 18S ribosomal RNA". It matches the Rfam family "Eukaryotic small subunit ribosomal RNA". Lineage: Eukaryota; Metazoa; Arthropoda; Malacostraca; Isopoda; Sphaeromatidae. The record is from RNAcentral.